This 69-nucleotide transfer RNA is filed under the name Rhynchortyx cinctus (tawny-faced quail). RNAcentral describes it as "tRNA-Phe". The record is from RNAcentral. Lineage: Eukaryota; Metazoa; Chordata; Aves; Galliformes; Odontophoridae.
GCCCUCGUAGCUUAACUCAUCAAAGCAUGGCACUGAAGAUGUCAAGAUGGUCUUCUUCCACCCAAGGGC